Molecule: ribosomal RNA, 236 nt
Filed under: uncultured bacterium
Lineage: Bacteria
Description: partial 16S ribosomal RNA
Rfam family: Bacterial small subunit ribosomal RNA
Source: RNAcentral
AGCAAUCUACCUUGGAGUGGGGGAAUAACACAGUGAAAACUGUGCUAAUACCGCAUAAUACAACUGUGUCGCAUGGCAGUGGUUGUCAAAGAUUUAUCGCUCUGAGAUGAGCUCGCGUCUGAUUAGCUAGUAGGCGGGGUAAAGGCCCACCUAGGCGACGAUCAGUAGCCGGACUGAGAGGUUGGCCGGCCACAUUGGGACUGAGACACGGCCCAGACUCCUACGGAAGGCAGCAG